AUCCAGCUGACGAGUCUCGAAUAGGACGAAAUGCGCAUCCUGGAU
Molecule: non-coding RNA, 45 nt
Filed under: Schistosoma mansoni
Lineage: Eukaryota; Metazoa; Platyhelminthes; Trematoda; Strigeidida; Schistosomatidae
Source: RNAcentral